Molecule: ribosomal RNA, 470 nt
Filed under: uncultured bacterium
Lineage: Bacteria
Description: partial 16S ribosomal RNA
Rfam family: Bacterial small subunit ribosomal RNA
Source: RNAcentral
GACGAACGCUGGCGGCGUGCUUAACACAUGCAAGUCGAACGGUGAACGAGGGAGCUUGCUCCCUCCGGAUCAGUGGCGAACGGGUGAGUAACACGUGAGCAAUCUGCCCCGAACUCUGGGAUAAGCGUUGGAAACGACGUCUAAUACCGGAUACGACGCGGGAGGGCAUCCUCUCCGCGUGGAAAGAACUUCGGUUCGGGAUGAGCUCGCGGCCUAUCAGCUUGUUGGUGAGAUAACGGCUCACCAAGGCGACGACGGGUAGCCGGCCUGAGAGGGUGACCGGCCACACUGGGACUGAGACACGGCCCAGACUCCUACGGGAGGCAGCAGUGGGGAAUAUUGCACAAUGGGCGCAAGCCUGAUGCAGCAACGCCGCGUGAGGGACGACGGCCUUCGGGUUGUAAACCUCUUUUAGCAGGGAAGAAGCGAAAGUGACGGUACCUGCAGAAAAAGCACCGGCUAACUACGUG